RNAcentral lists this ribosomal RNA (422 nucleotides) under Symbiodinium sp. strain Kenting E. Its description in RNAcentral is "LSU rRNA". It matches the Rfam family "Eukaryotic large subunit ribosomal RNA", at positions 89 to 518 of the family's 3401-position model. Lineage: Eukaryota; Dinophyceae; Suessiales; Symbiodiniaceae. The record is from RNAcentral.
GCGAACGAACAGGGAUAAGCUCAGGUUGGAAACCAGGGCCCUGGUCCUGGGUUGUAGCCUGCAGACGUAGCGCUAUCGGCGGCUUGAGCGAAAGCCUCUUGGAACAGAGCGUGUGCCCAGGUGAGAAUCCUGUGUUCGCUUGAAGUCCGCCGUGUACGGUGCUCGCUCUCAAAGUCACGCUCCUCGGAAUUGGAGCGUAAAUCAGGUGGUAGAUUUCAUCUAAAGCCAAAUACAGACCUGAGACCGAUAGUGAACAAGUACCAUGAGGGAAAGAUGAAAAGGACUUUGGAAAGAGAGUUAAACGUGCUUGAAAUCGCUGAAAGGGAAGCGAAUGGAACCACAUGCUUGCUGAGAUUGCUGCCAAUGCUUGUGAGCCCUGGUCAUUAAAGGCAAGCUUCUUGUCUAGGAGUGAGUUGGCAUUU